Molecule: ribosomal RNA, 418 nt
Filed under: uncultured microorganism
Description: bacterial SSU rRNA
Rfam family: Bacterial small subunit ribosomal RNA
Source: RNAcentral
GAGUUUGAUCGUGGCUCAGGACGAACGCUGGCGGCGUGCCUAAUACAUGCAAGUCGAGCGGAUCUUCAUUAGCUUGCUUUUGAAGAUCAGCGGCGGACGGGUGAGUAACACGUGGGCAACCUGCCUGUAAGACUGGGAUAACUUCGGGAAACCGGAGCUAAUACCGGAUAAUCCUUUUCCUCUCAUGAGGAAAAGCUGAAAGACGGUUUCGGCUGUCACUUACAGAUGGGCCCGCGGCGCAUUAGCUAGUUGGUGAGGUAACGGCUCACCAAGGCGACGAUGCGUAGCCGACCUGAGAGGGUGAUCGGCCACACUGGGACUGAGACACGGCCCAGACUCCUACGGGAGGCAGCAGUAGGGAAUCUUCCGCAAUGGACGAAAGUCUGACGGAGCAACGCCGCGUGAGCGAUGAAGGCCU